Molecule: non-coding RNA, 30 nt
Filed under: Rattus norvegicus (Norway rat)
Lineage: Eukaryota; Metazoa; Chordata; Mammalia; Rodentia; Muridae
Source: RNAcentral
UGUCCUUGCUGACUGUGUUCAAUGCCAGGC